RNAcentral lists this ribosomal RNA (497 nucleotides) under uncultured bacterium. RNAcentral describes it as "partial 16S ribosomal RNA". It matches the Rfam family "Bacterial small subunit ribosomal RNA", at positions 28 to 507 of the family's 1533-position model. The record is from RNAcentral.
GAUGAACGCUGGCGGCGUGCCUAAUACAUGCAAGUCGAGCGAACGGACGAGAAGCUUGCUUCUCUGAUGUUAGCGGCGGACGGGUGAGUAACACGUGGAUAACCUACCUAUAAGACUGGGAUCACUUCGGGAAACCGUAGCUAAUACCGGAUAAUAUUUUGAACCGCAUGGUUCAAAAGUGAAAGACGGUCUUGCUGUCACUUAUAGAUGGAUCCGCGCUGCAUUAGCUAGUUGGUAAGGUAACGGCUUACCAAGGCAACGAUGCAUAGCCGACCUGAGAGGGUGAUCGGCCACACUGGAACUGAGACAGGGUCCGGACGCCUACGGGAGGCAGCAGUAGGGAAUCUUCGGCAAUGGGCGAAAGCCUAACGGAGCAACGCCGCGGGAGGGAUGAGGUUCUUCGGAUCGUAAAAUUCUGUUAUUGGGGAGGAACAUAUGUGUAAGUAAAUGUGCACAUCUUGACGGUACCUAAUCAGAAAGCCACGGCUAACUACGUG